Molecule: ribosomal RNA, 420 nt
Filed under: uncultured bacterium
Lineage: Bacteria
Description: bacterial SSU rRNA
Rfam family: Bacterial small subunit ribosomal RNA
Source: RNAcentral
GGAAUAUUGGUCAAUGGGCGAGAGCCUGAACCAGCCAUGCCGCGUGCAGGAAGACGGCCUAUUGGGUUGUAAACUGCUUUUAUACGGGAAGAAAAUGCCCCUGCGGGGGAAAUUGCCGGUACCGUAUGAAUAAGCACCGGCUAACUCCGUGCCAGCAGCCGCGGUAAUACGGAGGGUGCGAGCGUUGUCCGGAUUUAUUGGGUUUAAAGGGUGCGUAGGCGGCCUGUUAAGUCAGCGGUGAAAGUUUCCGGCUCAACCGGGAGACUGCCGUUGAUACUGUCAGGCUUGAGUAAUGGAGGGGUACAUGGAAUUUAUGGUGUAGCGGUGAAAUGCAUAGAUACCAUAAGGAACACCGAUAGCGAAGGCAUUGUACCGGCCGUUCACUGACGCUGAGGCACGAAAGCGUGGGUAGCGAACAGG